GCUAAGAAUAUUCCGCAAUGGACGAAAGUCUGACGGAGCGACGCCGCGUGGAUGAUGAAGGCCGUGAGGUUGUAAAAUCCUUUUGUCGGGGAAGAAUAAGCGUGGGAGGGAAUGCCCGCGUGAUGACAUGAACCGGCGAAUAAGCCCCGGCUAACUACGUGCCAGCAGCCGCGGUAACACGUAGGGGGCGAGCGUUGUUCGGAAUUACUGGGCGUAAAGGGCAUGUAGGCGGUUCUGUAAGCCUGACGUGAAAGGCUAUGGCUCAACCAUGGCAUUGCGUUGGGAACUGCGGGACUUGAGUCACGGAGAGGGAGCUGGAAUUCCAGGUGUAGGGGUGAAAUCUGUAGAUAUCUGGAAGAACACCAGUGGCGAAGGCGAGCUCCUGGCCGAUGACUGACGCUGAGGUGCGAAAGUGUGGGGAUCAAACAGGAUUAGAAACCCGAGUAGUCC
Molecule: ribosomal RNA, 450 nt
Filed under: uncultured bacterium
Lineage: Bacteria
Description: bacterial SSU rRNA
Rfam family: Bacterial small subunit ribosomal RNA
Source: RNAcentral